RNAcentral lists this ribosomal RNA (616 nucleotides) under uncultured bacterium. RNAcentral describes it as "bacterial SSU rRNA". It matches the Rfam family "Bacterial small subunit ribosomal RNA", at positions 338 to 944 of the family's 1533-position model. The record is from RNAcentral.
CCUACGGGAGGCAGCAGUGGGGAAUUUUGGACAAUGGGCGCAAGCCUGAUCCAGCAAUGCCGCGUGAGUGAAGAAGGCCCUCGGGUUGUAAAGCUCUUUUGUCAGGGAAGAAAAGGGUGCGGCUAAUAUCUGCGCCUCAUGACGGUACCUGAAGAAUAAGCACCGGCUAACUACGUGCCAGCAGCCGCGGUAAUACGUAGGGUGCAAGCGUUAAUCGGAAUUACUGGGCGUAAAGCGUGCGCAGGCGGUUUUGUAAGACUGUCGUGAAAUCCCCGGGCUCAACCUGGGAAUGGCGAUGGUGACUGCAAGGCUAGAGUUUGGCAGAGGGGGGUAGAAUUCCACGUGUAGCAGUGAAAUGCGUAGAUAUGUGGAGGAACACCGAUGGCGAAGGCAGCCCCCUGGGUCAAAACUGACGCUCAUGCACGAAAGCGUGGGGAGCAAACAGGAUUAGAUACCCUGGUAGUCCACGCCCUAAACGAUGUCUACUAGUUGUCGGGUCUUAAUUGACUUGGUAACGCAGCUAACGCGUGAAGUAGACCGCCUGGGGAUACGGUCGCAAGAUUAAAACNAAANAGAGUAGAGCGUGAGAGAGCGACGACGACGACGAGGGAGGAGG